This 465-nucleotide ribosomal RNA is filed under the name uncultured bacterium. RNAcentral's name for it is "partial 16S ribosomal RNA". It matches the Rfam family "Bacterial small subunit ribosomal RNA", at positions 28 to 507 of the family's 1533-position model. The record is from RNAcentral.
GACGAACGCUGGCGGCGUGCUUAACACAUGCCAGUCGAACGGAAAGGCCCUGCUUGCAGGGUACUCGAGUGGCGAACGGGUGAGUAACACGUGGGUGAUCUGCCCUGCACUUCGGGAUAAGCCUGGGAAACUGGGUCUAAUACCGGAUAGGAGCCAUUUUUAGUGUGAUGGUUGGAAAGUUUUUUCGGUGUAGGAUGAGCUCGCGGCCUAUCAGCUUGUUGGUGGGGUAAUGGCCUACCAAGGCGGCGACGGGUAGCCGGCCUGAGAGGGUGGACGGCCACAUUGGGACUGAGAUACGGCCCAGGCUCCUACGGGAGGCAGCAGUGGGGAAUAUUGCACAAUGGGCGCAAGCCUGAUGCAGCGACGCCGCGUGGGGGAUGACGGCCUUCGGGUUGUAAACUCCUUUCGCUAGGGACGAAGCUUUUUGUGACGGUACCUAGAUAAGAAGCACCGGCUAACUACGUG